This 380-nucleotide ribosomal RNA is filed under the name uncultured bacterium. RNAcentral describes it as "bacterial SSU rRNA". It matches the Rfam family "Bacterial small subunit ribosomal RNA", at positions 30 to 406 of the family's 1533-position model. The record is from RNAcentral.
AUUGAACGCUGGCGGCAGGCCUAACACAUGCAAGUCGAACGGUAACAGGAAGAAGCUUGCUUCUUUGCUGACGAGUGGCGGACGGGUGAGUAAUGUCUGGGAAACUGCCUGAUGGAGGGGGAUAACUACUGGAAACGGUAGCUAAUACCGCAUAACGUCGCAAGACCAAAAAGGGGGACCUUCGGGCCUCUUGCCAUCGGAUGUGCCCAGAUGGGAUUAGCUAGUAGGUGGGUAACGGCUCACCUAGGCGACGAUCCCUAGCUGGUCUGAGAGGAUGACCAGCCACACUGGAACUGAGACACGGUCCAGACUCCUACGGGAGCAGCAGUGGGAAUAUUGCACAAUGGGGCGCAAGCCUGAUGCAGCCAUGCCGCGUGUAU